Molecule: long non-coding RNA, 24846 nt
Filed under: Triticum aestivum (bread wheat)
Lineage: Eukaryota; Viridiplantae; Streptophyta; Magnoliopsida; Poales; Poaceae
Description: long non-coding RNA (TAES_LNC006217)
Source: RNAcentral
AAUUCUUUCUUUGCAUUAGCUAUUUCAUAUGUUUCAGAUGAUUUAGAUGCAUGCUUAUACUCCUAUCUAUACCAGGUGCAUGUGUUGUGCUUGUGUACCUAUAUACAGAAUAGUACCCAUGUGUAAAUGGGUGUAUGUGUUCUGCUUAUAGUAGACGUUUAGUAAAUGUGCUAUCAAUGGCCUAUUUCUUCUUGCAGGUUAUGGACUAUAUCUUUCCUUGCUAAUUCCCUCUCUCUUAAAUCUGAUUUGAACAGAUGCUACACUGGUCUCUUCACUUUCUUUCUCUCCUACUCUCACUGAUAAGAACAGGUGCUCCUUAAUCUUGCCAUGCCAAUGAUGGUGUCCUGAGGCUCUCAUCGUUACUUAACAACAGAUGCUGCACUACUUGAUCCAAUGAUGCAAUAGUCCUAGCACUACUAGGCUGCCUGAGGACAAUCCCUACUUCAAACCCUACCUCUGGGCUAGUUGAUUAGUAGUGGGUUAGUUGGAUUUCAUCUGAAAACUAACCCAAGCUUAAUUGAGGGAUCCCCUAAUCAUGGAGUUAGUGCUAGUUUGAGUUGAUCUUUGGGUUUUGCUUUGAUCUAUACUUUGCUGGCUCUACUUCUGUCUUCGGUUAUUGGCUCCAUUUAUGUAGUGUUGGCUCUCUUCUACUGUUUCUUUGACCAACUUAAUUUGAUUGGAUUUAGACUAAUGUUUCCAAACUCCUAAGUGCUAGCUCCUACAGCAAAGGCAUUUUGCUAAGGGGAAUGCUACAUUUAAACCUUGAUCAAGUUUUUCCUGUUUGUUCUUUCUUGUUUUGCAGGUUGAUGAACUGGAAGAAAGAAGCAGAAGAUGAAGAACUAGAUAGUUUAGUAUAGGUUUAGUGUAGGACCUUUUCUUUCUCUUUUAUUUCUUUUUCCUCUAAGUGUAAUUCCUGAAUGCUUGUAAUUGACAUUUAUAUUAAUAAAGUCUAUUGUUUAUUACUCAGACCAAAUAAUUGUAGCGUUCCAUAUAUUGUGAAUAUAGCUUCUUUUAUUCACUUUUUGCAAUAUAACUUGUUUUAUUUAUUCAUCAAUAUAGAUUUGCAUAUAUUCCUACAGCAAAGCCCUAGGCAUAAAUGCCAUGUGGUAGCUCCUAGCCGAGGACUAUGCCUAUGGCAAAGCUGUCGGCAUAGAUCAUCUAUGCCUACGGCUUUGCCGUAGGCAUAGUACUCAGCCAGGAGCAACCUUGAGCUGCCACGUGGCAGGACUAUGCCGACGGCAAAGCCGUAGGCAUAGUUUCGCCAUGUGGCAGCUCCUGGUUGGUUGGACUUAGCGACGGCGCCGUCAGCUGCCGUCUCGUCCUUUUUUUUGCCGACGGUGAAACUAUGCCGACGGCUGUACGGAAGCCGUCGGCAUAGCUGCCUAUGCCGACGGCUUUAGUACACCGACGGUCUGACAAGAGUACGCUGACGCAUUCUAUGCCGAUGGGGAUAUGCCGACGGCAGCCGUAGGCAUAGGCCUAUGCCGACGGCAUUGUGGCCUAUGCCGAUGGCCUUGGGCCGUAGGCAUAGCUGCUGAUUCCGGUAGUGCCCUAAGCACACGUUGAACUAUUGAAGAGGAUGGAUGACCAAGUCGAUCGUGCCACCGUGAUGAAGAUAUUUUGAUGGCACCGUAUGCAUGUUUAUUCGACGUUCUAGAAGAGAUCAAUGGAUAGAGUCCUCCUCUACACCCUUAAUGAAAAAGAAAUAAGGCCAAAACUCAAUAUAAACAUGAUUGUCAAGAGUAAGCCGAUGAAUAGAAAGAAGGUUUUGUGAGGCGGUGGGAACAUGCAGAAUAUUGUUUAGAUGAAAAUUGUGAUCUUGGGACUUGACAAUGGAAUGUCCAAUAUGGCUAAUGCUCAUACCUGUACCUUCAGCAGUGUAGACUUGAUCACCACCACGAUACUUGUCGCGGGUGGUGAGCUUCUCGAGCUCGCCGGUGAUGUGGUUGGUAGCACCACUGUCCGCAUACCAGUUGGUAUCUAUCCCGUAGGAGUAUGUUGUUGCAAAUGCUCCCACCUUCUCUUCUGGAAGGUAGUCCUUGGUGAAGCGGUACCAGCACUCCAUGGCGAUAUGGCCCGACUUGCUGCAGAUCUGACAGCGCGGGCUGUUGUCGUUGCGGAAGCCACCACCGUUUGGUCCUGGGCCGCCUGGUCCUCCCGGUUCUCCUGGCGCUGCCGUUGCCGUUGGUGUAGCCGCGACCUUGGCCAUUAGUGCCACGACCGCCGCUUCUUCCACGGGACGCCCCACGUCCACGCUGAUAGCCGCGCCCGCGAGCAGCAGCAUUAGCGGAGGACUUGAAUCCACCGCUGCUGCCGGAGCCUUGGAAUAGCUCCAUCCUCUGAUCAAAAUUCGCCAUCUGCGAGUACAAGCCGUUGAGAGUGAUGGGUUCAGGGCGAGCAUCAAGAGCAGAUACCAGAGGAUUGUAGUCGAGGUCGAAGCCGGCCAGGAUGAAGGAGAUGAGUUCAUCGUCUUGCAUGGGUCUCCCGGCAGCCGCAAGCUCAUCGGCAAGCGACCGCAUGCGGGCGAAGUAGACGGGGACGGACUGAUUGCCCUUUUCUGCGUUGGUGAGGGCGAUGCGAAGGUUGUUGACGCGGGAGCGGGACUGCGAGGAGAACAUGUUCUUCAACGCAGUCCAGGCUGAGUGCGCCGUCUCGACAGAGACCAUCUGCGUCAGGACUUCCUUGGAGACGGAGUUCAGCAGAUACGCUAGCACCUGCUGGUCCUGGAUGACCCAGGUCGCGUGCAGCGGGUUAGGCGCGUCCGUGGGCUUGCCCUCCUUGUCGACGAGAAAUUUUUCUGGUUCAGGAGUGGAUCCAUCAAGGUAUCCAUGGAGGUUAAUUAGCUCCUCGGACCUGAGGAAGAAACUGGGUCUUCCACAGAAGGUAGUUUUCUCGGGUAAGUUUCUCCGUGAUUUGGCUGGUGAGGGGGUUGAUUGCAGCGUGGGAUGAGGAGGCCAUGGCUAUGGAAAAGGAAAGCUAGAUGUAUUUGGAAGGAAGGCUCUGAUUACCAUGUAAAUAUGGAAGCGUUUCAACCUACCGUAGUAGGCCGUGGGUUACGUGUUUAUAUAGGAUCAGAAAAGCCCUAGAUCACGGCAUAUACAAGGAAACUUGGAGUACAAGAUGAUCACGAGAUAACUACAAAAUAUAACAGCUAGGCAGGUUCGGUUUAGCCUUAUCUCUGACUUAAACCGAACAUACAAUAAUAUCUCGAAGAUUCAUUCUAGACUAUUCUUAACACCGAAAUCCAUGAGAGUUAUCCGGCCAAUAUUCGUAAGCAUUGUUUCAUUGUAUCAUUGAAACUCGCAUAUUUAUACAGUUGGCUAUUCAGUAUUUGAACAAGUGUAGAGCAAAAUCAUAAAGAACUACAUGAAGUUCUAGCAGAGUAUGUAUAUAGCUGGCUGAGUAUUGGAGUGUGUGUAGAAGACAAAACUAUAUAGAAAGCAGAGUCAGUGACAAGAUAUGGCUGGCCAUAUAAUAUAUCACAAUUUAACGGGCAACGUCUAAAAAGAUGAGUACUACUACGUUUGAAAUGACUUAAAAAACUUACAUUAAAGGGCCCUGAGUGCAUCUUAAUGUGCGGUUAUGAUUUUUUUUAAUGAUCUUUACAUUUUUUAUCGAUGUUUCAAAUUCUCAAAGGAAGGCUAGCUGAGCGUUAUGAGGGAGACACAGUAAUGCUUGUUUUCUCAAUUCCUUUGUUAACCAUGUAUGGCCUCUUUGGUUCAUACGGGAACUUGGUAAAACCGUAUAAAUGGAGGAUUUUCCAUUUUGGGGUACUAUGUAUUUGUCUGGUUCAAAUGCAUGGAUGGAUAGACCAAACAAGAAAUGGAGGAAAUUUUCUCUUGAUCUCAAUUUCAAAUAAAAAAACAUAGGGAGUUUAAAAUCCACAUGGACCACUUUUUAGAGGUCAUACACACAUGAAAUACAAAAACAAGAUCUUUAGUGUCAUAAUAAAAUACUAAUUAUAUCUUCUCAUAUGGUGUCUUUAAUUUGUCUAUGUGAUAUUAAUGUUUUUAUAUUCAUGUGAACCAACAUCUAAAUUUGUAAAAUUAUCGUGUUUCCUAAAACUCUACUCUAUUUGGUUGCAUGCCACACCAUUCCUGUCAUAUUCUUGUGUUUUGCAUAUUCAUAUUACAGCAUAUGAAGCACCUCAACCGUGAGUCGGGCGAGCGUGCCAUUGGCGCCACCACACCGGCGGUGCACACUGCCUCAACGAGGGCCGCUUAGGAAGGAGUCCGGGUGGCGCACCUGUCGUGGCUCAACCGAAAUGAUGUCGCACGGUUGCGCUUGACGAAGAGCGGCCACCCUCCAGCUGAAGCACCACUAGGUGGUCUGCCUGUAAUCGACUGAGGAAGGUGUGUCUUUAAGCAUCCAGAAGAUUGUGAAGGCGUGUUUGAUCCAUUCGUCGAGAGCUGCCAAGCCCGGUCAUCUUCUGAUUCAUCUUGACCGCCCAAUAGUGUUAGGUGCACACUAGCACUAAUCCUCUUCCUCUCACGGCGGAUUACUCGCAGGAAUUUGGCUACACAAUCUUGGGAAAGAAGAAGUUCACAGAGAGGAGAAGAGAUACAGGUUACAACCUUUUCUUUUCAUUUUUGAGAAUCAGACACAGGUUAUAGCUAAGCUCUACAGCUGCCACCGGUCUUGCCAUUGAUCCUAGCCGGGAUGCCUCCUUUCCGAACCAAGCCCGCUACUUAUGCAGCGUUGGAGGCUUGUCACUUGUCUUCCUUGUUGUACAUGUACGAGUCCCACUACGGGCCUGAGGACUUGUGAUUAAUUGGCCAGCCAGCCUGUUGGGUUUGCAGGUCAGGUCAAAGAAGGAUGCAGAAGGGUGUUGGAGCGUUGCUGCUGUUCAGGUCAAAGAAGGAUGCAGAAGGGUGUUAUUUGCCAACAGCAAGUCACUGAAUCUAUGUGCAUAGCACAAGCCCGUGCUCGUGGUACCGUUGCCUACCAUUCCUAUCACCGUACAAAUUUUCUAGUCAAUGCCAUUGAGCAAUGUUAUUAAAGUGUACAACUACCAUUCUAGAGAAAGAGGCAGCAACAAAAACUCUAUUUAUAUAAGAGUAGUAUAUGCUAGAGAAGAAUACAGACUCUGUGUAAAGAGGCUGAACUCUGCCCAUGUCUGAGAGUUGGCUCAUCCAGUUAUUUCAUUUACUAUGGGCAUGAUUGGUUAAAAACUUGAAUUUAAUGGUGAGCAGAGAAGGUACGUAAGAAGAGCUUUUUUACGAUGAUUGGGUUAGUACUCGGAGUACUUAGCAGUACUUACAUGUCUGAUCACGUUUGAUUUUUAUUAGCCGUCAGAUCUUGCGGGGAAUUUUAAUUGAUUAAAUUUAAUAUGUUAAUUGCAAUAAGGGCAUAAUGGUCCAGGGGGAAAUAUCUUUUCUUGAACCGAUCACCUGAGGACCAGAUCCAUCUCUACUCGAUCCAGUUCAGAAUCCUCCUCCGAUCUAUUCAUCGCCGCUCGCCGCUCCUGACCUUCUCCGUCCUCGACCUGCCCGGCGAGAGGAAUAAAUUCAUCGUCCUCGUCCUCCACCCAACCAACCCUAGCCCCCCACGCCGUCACUGAAGAAGAAGAAGGCCGGAUCUGCGCCGGCUGAAUCGGCUGCGACCGCGGCGGGCGAUCCCAUCUCUUCGCGCGUACCAUCCUUAAGGUAUGAAUUCGGCUUGGCGUUCUGCUCGUUCUCUUGACCGUUGCGCCCCUCCACCGUGCAUGCAGUACAACCUCAACCCCACAAGAUCCGGGUACGGACUAGAACAACGAAUGGAAAGCUUCAUCGUGGCAUAGUUUCUCUUGAGCUAAUCGCAUCAUGUUUGUUUAAGUAAGAUGUUGAGGGCAUUGCUUACUUCCUUUGGUACCGCAGAAAAAAGUGACUUACUUGACGUUUGAGAUGAGAUAUACUAAAGGAAGAUGAGAUACUGGUUCCAUAGUUCACUUAAUUUAGUCUAUUAAAGUCAUCAUCACUUUAGGUUUGCAUAGUGCAUGAAAUAUAGUUUAAAGGAAGAUGAGAUACUACUUGUUGGACGUUGAUGGUUGGUUUCCCUCACAUGUCAAACGAGCAAAGUCUUUUCCAUGCGCUUGUCUUUGCCUAUGAGCUAUUUUACACCUGCAACAUUGAUAAACAGAAAGAUGUUGAUGAUUGGUUUCCCUCACAUGUCAUAUGCAGGAAGACAUGGCGUAUGCAAGUGAUGAGAGUAUGUUCGAGUAUCUAAAUGUUGUCAGCAAGAUGUUUGAUAGUGAGGCUGAAGGCUAUGAAUUCUACAACAAAUAUGCUCUUGAAAAAGGUUUUAGUGUGAGGAAAAGCUAUGUUGAGUGGGAUGGAUCCAACAAAUACAUAAUUUUAAGGAAAAUUGUGUGUAGUCGUCAAGGGUUUCACGAAGAGAAGCACAUGAAAAGAAAGAUGGAAGAUAGAAAGAGGAGGCCACGAAGUUUAACUCGUGUUGGGUGUAAUGCUAAAUUGGUCAUUACGAGACAGGAGGAAACCGGUCGGUGGUUUGUCAAGGAUUUCAUCGAUGAGCACAGCCAUCCUCUAGCCCCACGAGAUCUUUCUUGUCUGCUGCGUUCGCACAGACGAAUUAACGAUGAGCAGAAAGCGGACAUUGCGGACAUGGGAAAAUGUGGGAUCCGCAAAAACCGUAUUAUGGAUAUUUUGUGCUUUCAAUACGGUGGAUUUGAUAAGGUUGGAUGCAUAAAGAGGGACGUUUAUAAUUUCUUCCAUGCUAAUAAGCAGGAGACAAUCAGUGCUGGUGAUGCUAAUACGGUGAUCAUGCACAUGAUGGCGAGGCGAGAGCGAGAUGUGGAUUUUUUCUUCAAGUACUUGGUAGACGAGCAUGGCAAUCUGAAGGGACUGUUCUGGGCUAAUAGUCAGUCGCGACUUGACUACGAGGCUUUCGGAGACGUCAUUGUUUUUGAUAGCACAUACAAAACCAACAAAUAUAAUCUGCCAUUCGUGCCAUUUGUCGGGUUGAAUCACCACCGCAACACUGUUUUUUUGGCUGUGGUAUAAUUUCUCAUGAAACAAGCCAGGCAUACGAGUGGAUGUUGCGGACCUUUUCUGAUUGCAUGGCACAGAAGCAUCCGAUAUCUGUGAUCACAGAUGGGGACCUUGCAAUGCAGAGAGCAAUAAGGGUGGUCUGGCUAGACUCAAACCAUAGACUAUGUAUAUGGCACAUUCAACAGAACAUUGUACGCCAUCUGCAUGAUGACGACGUAAAGGAGGAAUUUAAAUCUUUCAUUUAUGAUACUUCUUCCAUUGAAGAGCAUGAGAUAAAAUGGAUACAAUUCUUACAAUGGAAUAAAGUAACCAGUGAGGAGUCUUGGCUGCAUCAGAUGUAUCAGAUGAGAAAGUUGUGGUGUGCUCCAUAUCUUGAGGGGCGUUGUUUCCUAGGAUUGAGCAGCAAUCAAAGGAGUGAGAGCUUGAACUCUGUGCUACAUACGCAUCUUGAGGGUAAGAUGUCGUUGUUUGAAAUGCUAGAGCACUAUGAGCGUUGCCUUGCGUCGCGACGGAUUAACGAAGCUCUCCAUGACGUCGAAGCCUUGUAGCCCGUUCCAUUUACAGAGGAAAAUGCUUCGCCGCUUAAGAAACAUGCCGCAACAGUUUUCACACCUAGUGUCUUUAAGAUGGUCUUAUGGAGGAUAGAUGCUGUCAGCAAAUGUCAGAUCAGAGAGAUACUAGAUGGAUCAGAAGAUUCCACUUAUGUUGUGUCCAAGGAGGAAAGAAUGGAUAAAAAGUUUGGAGUGCACAUUGAAGAGCGAGGAGGUCUUUUGCACAGGGUGAGUUGUUCUUGCCGUAAGCUGGAAUGCGCAGGCACACCAUGUUCCCACAUUUUUUACAUAUUGGGGAUUUUAAAACAAACAACUCUGCCGGGUUGUUGCGUUCUCACUAGGUGGACUAUGAAUGCAAAAUGUGCACACGCACCUACCAGAAAAAACCAGAUGUAUGACUAUUCGGUAAGCCUGCAGAGGUACCGCGAGUUGCGGAAUUGUAGUCACGCCGCAAGUUUCAAGGCAUGCCACUCUGAUGAGGACUAUCACCGUCUAAAGAUGCUUUUGCAAGCACAACAUCAUGGCAAGCAAUCAUGUUUUGAACAAGCUGACAGCAAGGACUCAACUAAUGUUCAGCAUAACAGCAUUAGGUUUGGCCCGUUGAUGCCACACUCGGAGAAAGUUGAUAAGGUUCUGGAUCCCGUGCAUGUGCCAGGACGAGGUGCAUCAAAGAAAAGGCUGCAGGCAAAGACAAAGAAGUCAAGAUCACAGAAUAUCUGUGGGUAUUGCAAGAAACCAGGUCACAAUCGACGUAAAUGCGCUAAAUUGCUAGAGGUACGAAAUAUGUUCAUAUUUAUUUUUUGCAUGUGUUUUGCACAUAAUUAUGUCCAUGUGAUUUAUUGUAUUCUUCUGUGUAGGAUCUCGAGGCUGAACUGUGAUAUCUACAUACAGCAUGAACCGACGAUGAGCCAGAGAACGUCGUGUGCCAUUCAGCUUUGUGUGACGUGGUCUUUACAUUCUAUUUCAUCGUGACAGUAAUUUAGUGAAGUGCGGUUGUACUGCCAUGUUACUGUAUUAGUUCGACAUCUUUCGUUUCCAUUUUCUGUGUGUAUCAUUUGAUGUCCAAAUUUAAGAAUGAUGAUGUAUUUCGAACAGGAAUAAGGGCUAGCAUGGAGCACUUGUUAUUGUCGAGUAAUAAUUAUUGUGAUGUAUUUCUGCACGCACACACGGCCGCCAGACGGAUCUCCCGCGCGAUCCCACGGUCUGCAUGGCUGGCUCGGUGCGUGUCCAUCAUUUAGGCGAGACUACCGACGCCAUGCAUGCAUGGCAGGCCGUUUUCCUACGUCGACCCAAACACCGGCCCAUCCGAGGUUGCAGCUCCGGACGGCCCACGUCUCGUACGAUCUCGCACGUUGUUUUCGUCUAACUAAAAAUAGUCCCACCUCGCCCCUCGAGCAGCUCCUUUACCUGCUUAAAUACCUUCAUCGAGGUGAUUUUAGCAAGCGUUGGUCCUCAUUAUAGGAUGACUAUGAUUCUUCAUCCUUACUAUGGUUGUCAUGCAUAUUCUUCAUUUAGAGAGCAAUAAUGACUGACAUAUUUUUUAAAUAAGUGGGGCCCAUUGGGGUGUGCUUGGAAAUCUUUGAGAAACCUCCAUGCACGUUCAUCUUCGCUGCAUGCAAAUCGGGCGGCAACCGCUGUGCCAGUAGCUGUCAAGGCCUUGAUGAAUCACUGUUCACAUGCAGGUCCCCGACUCUUGCAUGCAGGUCCCCGACUCUUGCAUGUAGGUCCUCAAGUCUUGCAUGCAGGUCCCGACUCUUGCAUGCAGGUCCCGACUCUUGCAUCCCGGAGGGUGUGUACAACUCUAGCUUGUUCUUGCCAACACUACUAGGAAAAGGCAUGCUAGUGGCGCACCGAUUUUGCCUUCUAAUGGCGCACUACUGGUGCGGCACUGGAUAUUGUUUUGGCUGAUGUUGUUUUGGUGCCAUUUUGGAUGGCUGCAGUGACUGUUUUGGUGCCAUUUUUGAUCUCCUAAUAUGGUUGCAGUGAUCAUUAAUUUUAGAGCAAAAUAUGGCUGUUAUUUUUUUUUGUUUUGUUUCAGAAACAGGAGAAACCAAAGGGUCCACGCCUCCCCUCCAGAGUUUUCGAGGGCCAAAGGGCAGGACGUUUGAGUUUUGGAGGCAACUCCCCACGUCUCCCCUCCACUGGCAACUCCCCAUGUCUCCCCUCCACUGGCAACUCCCCACGACCACGACGCAGGUAACUCCCCUCCUAUUCCAUUGCCGCUCCAUCUUCCUCCCUCUGCCUCCCUCCUCAUUCCAUUGCCGCUCCAUCUUCCUCCCUCUGCCUCCACCAUCAAGCAACUCCCAUCUGCCUCCACCAUUGCUGGCCAGGAGGGCAAUGGCGGAGGAAUCGUGGAGCAACUCCCCUCCAUCUGCCAAGAGAAUGGCGGAGGCAUCGUGGAGCAACUCCCCUCCGUCUGCCAAGCAUCACCGUGGUGAGGCGUCUGGCAAGGAGCCGCUGGUGGUCGACGACGACGUUCCGGUCCCCGGGCAGAAGCAGGACUACACCGUGCCGCUCAUGGUUGAUAUCCACCUAAAGGAGAAGCUGGAUAUCGUAUGCACCAGCAAUCCAGACGAAGCCGACAAGAGGAUCCGCGACAUGAGGAGAAGGCUCGGCGGCAUGGUUUCUCGUUCGACCGGCGUUGAUGUCGAGUAUACCAGGGAAGACGAACCUCCGCAAAUGGCUGCAGUUCUGCAGUUAUGCGUGGAGGAUCUCGUCCUGGUAUACCACAUCACCGCGGCAACCAAAUGGUAAAAACAUCCAGUUCUGAAGUUUCUGAAGUUCUGAAGUUUCUGUCUAAUUAGUAGUUUCUGAAGUUUCUGAAGUAGAUGCAAUAGUUCUGAAAUUUUGAAGUAGAUGCAAUACUAGUUCUGAAGUUCUGAAGUUUCUAAAGUUCUGAAGUUUCUGUCUAAUUAGUAGUUUCUGAAGUUUCUAAAGUAGAUGCAAUAGUUCUGAAGUUUGGAAGUAGAUGCAAUACUAGUUCUGAAGUUCUGAAGUUUCUGUCUAAUUAGUAGUUUCUGAAGUUUCUGAAGUAGAUGCAAUAGUUCUGAAGUUCAGAAGUAGAUGCAAUACUAGUUCUGAAGUUCUGAAGUUUCUGUCUAAUUAGUAGUUUCUGAAGUUUCUGAAGUUUCUGAAGUAGAUGAAAUAGUUCUAAAGUUCUGAAGUAGAUGCAAUACUAGUUCUGAAAUUCUGAAGUAGAUGCAAUACUAGUUCUGAAGUUUCUGUCUAAUUAGUAGUGUCUGAAGUUUUUUAAGUAGAUUAAUUUGAUGCACCAGAUUAAUUUGAUGCAGGACCAAGGAACUCCGCCCGCUCUUGCAGGAGAAGAAGCUGUACACCUUUGUUGGCUUCUCCAUUCGAGGUGACAAGGAGAAGCUGAAGUUGUCUGGUUUGGAGAUCAACCCCGACAAGUACGUCGACAUCCAGCGCAAAUGGAGGGUUCCAAACAAUGGAAAGAAGUGGCAGUCUUUGGCUGAGUUUGCAGGCAGCCUCAUCCACCCAUCCUACAAGGAAAUGAAGGGGAAGACCAACAAGAAAUUGGACCACAAACGAUGGGGGGACAGCCCACUGCCAGACAACCUCAUCGAGUACGCAGCGAAAGAUGUGUACAUCACCUACGAGGCAUGGAAGAAAAUCGAAACCGUCAAAGAAGGUUUGGAGCAAUGGCAAGAGGUGGGGGAUCAUUGGGAUGACCCCUACUACUGGGGAUAUUGAGUUGUUUGUUGUAUUAUGUGUCUCAGUUUGUAGUUAUGUGGUUGAACAAGUUUGCUUUUGUUAUGUUGAACAACUUUGCUUUUGUAAUGAUGAACAAGUUUGCUUUUGUUAAGUUGAACAAGUUUGCUUUUGUAAUGAUGAACAAGUUUGCUUUUGUUAUGUAGUUAUGUGAUUGUUAUGAUGCUGGUGCAGAACACUUAUGGUUGUGAUGUGAUGCUACUGCUAUAUAGUAGUGGCGCAUCACAUGACAGGUGCGCCAUUAGUGUCCAUUCCAUCUAUAGCCUUUUUCCUAGUAGUGCAAAAUGCAGCAUGAUGGACUGGCUGCAAUGGAAAUAAUGGUGACAAAUGCAAAAAAUGAAAUAUGACAAAAAAGCCCUCCUACUUGCCGCUUAAAGUUCACAAUUCAACGGCCUGCAUACGACUAGUAACCCAAUCAUUUAUUGGGCCAGGAUGCAGAGGCCCGUCAGAUUGUGAUAACAUGUAGCAAGUAGGCCCACAUGGCAGGGACGGAGACGGUAGGCAAUGUGCUGCCCGCUUUAGAAAGGAACUUGAGAGGGAAAGCUCAGCCCGCUAUAUAAACCGGUGCUAGCUCCGCUCGCUCGGCGAGGUGGGACUAAACUCCCUGCACCCCUGGGAUGUGCCCGGCGCGGGGCCUAAUUUGGAUGGGCCGUCCCACGCCAGCCUCACCCGCUGGAUCGCUGGAUGGACCGUUGGGCCAUCUCGUUGUCUGCACCUGAGGCAUGCAUGCAUGGGAAUGGCGGCGACGUGGGUUUGCAUGCGCGGGUGGCAGACGUGAACUUUAUCUAUCCGAACUAUGUUAUGAUUUCUACCCAAAACAAGUUCGCGUGCAACGCGCUCCCAUGCGACGCACGCCUCUCGCGUGAUACGCGAUUCCGAUGCGACUGCGUGCCAAGUUUUAUAGAUGGAAACUUCUUUAGAUGCAAUGCCAUCUCAAAAACAACUCAGAAACAACUGUAUGAUUGAUCAUAAAACACAUGCAUUGUUGUUCAAAGAACUGUCUCAGGAAUAAAUUGUACCAUAAUUGCGAACAUAGUGUGAAACAGAAAAAAAUGUUUGUUUGAAACAAAAUAAUCCUGGUUUAAAGCUUAAACUGGUUGAAAAACAAUUGAGCCUACUCCAUAUUGUCUUCUGCACUGCCAAAAUCCAGUGACCUCUUGCGUUGCGUCGUUGGAGAUUGCGCCGGGCUUGGCGACGACCCAUGUGCUUCAAUCUUUUUCUCUUUAACAUCAAUGUAACCAUACACCUUAAGUUGUUCUUGGUCUUUCUCUGCCAACUCUCUAGCAAGACCCUCCAUUUCUUGGAUUCUCACUUCUUGUAGAAAACCAUAGGAAUUGUAUUAGGAAGAACUCAAAAAAGACGUAGCCAUAAACUAGAUGCAUGUAACAUGUAAAAUUUGAACCUCUGAAUCAAUGUCAUCCUCGGUAAAACAACCCGUAGUUCUAUUGUACACAAUGUAUAGGUGACAUGUCUUGCUGCCAUUCAGAUCAGAAAGCAUUUUUUGUACAUCAUCUGGUCCUGCAAUCAAGAACAUUCCUUCUGGCAGCUUCCACGCAGACCCGGGUAAGAAGUAGUACAGUUCUGCUCCCAGUUUGCAACCAAAAGUAUCUUUCAUUUCACUCAUAAUGAGAUCGUAGGUCACUUUGGCGGGUUCAAAAACUCUGACUUCUGCCGGGUGUUCAUCAAAGUAUGCUCUCGGGACAUGUGACAUCUCGUCAUCCCUACUAACAAAAAAUUCCGUGACCAGCACCUAGUAUCUCACAUCAGAGUUAAUACAUUCAAUGAGUAAAGGGGCAAACAUAAUUUUUUAUGUGCAUAGCAACAUUGCGGCAUUGUUACCUGCUUUUGUGGAAUGUAUCCUUCAUGUGGAGUGACUGGGGAUUGUGCCAUCUCAAACCUUCUCACCUUGUUAUGUGGAAUGUAUCCUUCAUGUGGUCUGACUGGGGACUCUGCCAUCACAGGUUUCUAAUCCUGCGUAUGAAACGUCGACAGUGGGUUUACACACAAGUUUUGAAAGGUCAUACCAUAUCUUGGGUAUGCAUCGUUGUGAGGUACUUACAAGGGGAGAAUUGACGAUAUGUUGUUGGGGUGGACUGAUGUGGCAUUGAACGGGUGACUCUAUCGCAAUGUCUCGAGUGAAUGGCGACUGUGCCGUCUCAUGAUGCUUAGCCUACAUACAAUCGCCGACAUAAGGUUGCCACAAAUUGAAGAUGUUUGUAUCAUAGAAUACGUAGGUCCUUAAUAUAUAGAAUCGGUGCGAGAUACUUACAGGGGGAGAAUAAUUGAAGACAUGUUGUCGGGGUGGCUGUGAGAUCGCACGGUCUUCUAACAUAUGUCCUUCCCAGCGGACCUUCUCCAGCAUGGCCUUAUAAUCCAUGUCCGACCGCUCCUGUAGCAGCUUACUGUCCAUAUCCGGACGUGCCUGCAACACAUACGCAUCCAUCCUGACUCGCUCUGUCUGUAUAAUACUGUCCACAAGCUUCCGGUCCUUCUGCAACGUUUGAUGCAUUUCCUUGUAGCCAAGGACAAACUUUUUUCCAUGUACUCACAGUCCCGCUUAUACUUUUCUUCAAUCUCAAGACGCAUCUUUGCCAUCUUACGGGAAAACUCCUCACGCUCCUCCUUUAUCAUCCUGUCCACGUAUGAACGUUCUUUUUUCAGUUUCUUAUCUACCUCAUCGCGAUCCUUUUGCACCUUCAAGUCGAUCACCCGGCAUGCUUCAUGCAAAGACUUGUCGUACUCGGCACGGUUGUUACGCGCCUCUGAGACCAUGGUCCCUACAGCAACACGUAUACCCAUAGUAUGAAAACUGUAUCCACAACCUCAUCCUACUAAUUCGAAACAAUAUGACCGUGAAAAAAUAUUCAGAACCAGUUCGUACGAUCAACUACUACAAACUAUCAAUCAAAAAGCUCUUGCAUGACAUCCUGUACUCGAAUUACACCAGAACUACUCAACUAUGGCAAAACCUGGAUUUUCUAAUCUCUUCAGAAAUGACUUCUUGGCCGAAUCAAUGGAAAAAAUAAUCAGCACUGCAAUCGAAGGUGGGAGGAGCCGUGGAGGAGACCUUUUUAAUCCGGCGUCGGCGUGGUCGCUUGAGAAGCGAUGGCGCGAUCCCGGCGAUGGCUAUGUGAGGAGAAACAAGGUAGAUGGGGGUGGUUAGGAUAGGGUAGAUAUGCGGUAUAAUGGGAAGGUAUAUAUCCGUGAUUGUAGGGUUAAUUAGUUAUUUUGAAGUAAUGCGCUUCGAUGCAAGUUUUUAUUUUAACGAGCGUGAUCUUUUCGGGGCUUCCAAAACAUGUGCACUGACUGCGGGUCCAACCACAUAUCACAGAAGCCCGAGCCAUCACCGUGCCCAUGCCAAGCUGCCGCCCACCAUUGCCUCCCUUUCCCUUGCCCCACCAAAUUGUUAUUCUUCUGCGGCGACGAAGCCUGCCAUCGCCGGCGGACGGUGAGAGACGAGAGAUGUCCAUGUCCAGUUCGGCCUCUCCGUCAUCAUGGCCGCGGUAUGGUUCACUGCCGAUGACCAGAUGCCCCGACUGCCCACGCAUCGCGCCACUGAAGCGUUUGAGAACCAUAUCGGAGAAGAAUGGAAACCAUGGGCAGGAAUUUGUGAAAUGCGAGAGCAAACUAGAAGCAGGGAAGGUUAAAUCUAUGUUCUGUUGUGUCUUUUUGCUAUGAAUUCUGACCCCAGAUUUAUAUUUAUUUCCUCGGAAUUGUGAUUUAGGGUUUCCCUUCCCAAUUUCAGAAGCUGAAAACAUGCAAGCAUUUUGAGUGGCUGGAUGAAUAUGUUGAGAGGCUUCAAACGGAUGGCUUAAUUGAUUUGCCCAUUGAUUUGAGGCACGAGGCAACCCUAGAGGCAGAUCUGCCAUCGGCGGUGGAUAAUAAGGGCUAUGCCAAUGUUCCUCUGAUGAUGGCGGAUGCAGAACUCAAGGUGGAAUCGAAGAAGAUGAACAAUAACUUAAGGCAGUUGAUCGAUCUGAAUAAGCACGCAAAUCUGAUGGCCGUGGGAUUUUACUUUUCAAUAAUUGUUGUGGGAUUUGUUUACUUGUUGAUCAUAACUCAUUAGAAGUUGUUAACAAAUUAUUUCAGUCAGCUUCUGUAUAAGCAAUGUCAUUUGUGCUUAAUGCCUUGUAUGACCAGACCAAGGAAAAGCUCAUUUGUAAUCUAUUGGGAAGGACAAAUAAAAUUGAAAACUGAUUUCUUGUUUCCAAAAUAAAAUUUGUGCUUAAUGCCUUGUAUGACCAUAUUCUGCCAUGUCUUGGGGCACAACACGAUGAGGCAGUUUUUGUUUGAACAACAAAUUUGUUAUGUUAGCAAAUUUGUAACUUAUUCUUCUCUAAAAAAGGAAGAGCAAUAAAUUCAUUCCAAGAAUUUGCAGAAAUAAUUGUCAACCCAUUUUUGUUGGUAAUUACGAGAUAUGUUUGGCGCAAUUAGUGGCUAACUGGUUUUUUUUGAGGAAUAGUGGCUACUUGGUUUGAUACAUGCCAAACGUUACGUUCAGAUUAGUUGCAUUAUUUCGUUCAUUUUUUACCCAAAAAAUCUAUACAAAGUGUUAAUUGGACAAUGUGAACAAUGUGGCAUGAAGGUUGUCGGAUGGUACCGGAUGGAAUCCAUUGUAAACCAACCCUAAACCCUAAACCCAAAAAACCAAAAAACCUGAACCCUAAACCCUGANNNNNNNNNNNNNNNNNNNNNNNNNNNNNNNNNNNNNNNNNNNNNNNNNNNNNNNNNNNNNNNNNNNNNNNNNNNNNNNNNNNNNNNNNNNNNNNNNNNNNNNNNNNNNNNNNNNNNNNNNNNNNNNNNNNNNNNNNNNNNNNNNNNNNNNNNNNNNNNNNNNNNNNNNNNNNNNNNNNNNNNNNNNNNNNNNNNNNNNNNNNNNNNNNNNNNNNNNNNNNNNNNNNNNNNNNNNNNNNNNNNNNNNNNNNNNNNNNNNNNNNNNNNNNNNNNNNNNNGGGAUGCCAUGAAGAAAGUUAGGGAUCAUUAGUACAUGUACACGCAAGUACGAUCUCUGACACGCACAUUUCCGGUCCCUCUACACGUACAUGUAAACCAACCCAACAUCGAUCCGGUUCAGUGGAUGGAUGCAUGCUCUAUGUGGCACGAAGUAUGUCGGCCAAGACAGUCGACAGACCAGAUUGAUGCUACCGGAGGGAUUCCAUUGUAGACCAACACUCGACCUAUGUCCGGUGUGUGUGAUAGGUACACUGUAAGACAAACAUAGUAACGUCAACCCUAAAACCCUAAACAGUGAUAACCCUAACCCCCCCCACUAAACCGUAAAAACAUUCAAAAUUUUGCCCCACAUGGAAACCAUUAUGCAUGCAUUCUCUAUGGGGUCAUGGGAUGCCAUGAAGAAAGUUUGGGAUUAUACACGCAAGUACGAUCUCUGACACGCGCAUUUCCGGCCUAGCAUGUCAACACCCCGAAAGCACUAGCUGGGUUCCUCACCUGUAUGAAACCAACCCAACAUCGAUCCGUUCCACUGGAUGGAUGAAUGCUCUAUGUGGCACGCAGUUUGUCGGCUGAGCCAGUCAACGGACCGGAUCGAUGCUACCAGAGGGAAUCCACUGUAGACCAACACUCCAUCAAUGUCCGGUGUGUGUGCUACGUCCACCGCAAGACAAACAUAGCUCUGCCAACCCAUAAACCCUUAAACCCUAAACCCUGAUAACCCUAACCCCCCCCACUAAACCGUAAAAACAUUCAAAAUUUUGUCCACAUGGAAACCAUUAUGCAUGCAUUCUCUAUGGGGUCAUGGGAUGCCAUGAAAAAAGUUUGGGAUUAUACACGCAAGUACGAUCUCUGACACGCGCAUUUCCGGCCUAGCAUGUCAACACCCCGAAAGCACUAGCUGGGUUCCUCACCUGUAUGAAACCAACCCAACAUUGAUCCGGUCCAGUGGAUGGAUGUAUGCUCUAUGUGGCACAAAGUUUGUCGGCCGAGCCAUUCAACGGACCGGAUCGAUGCUACCGGAGGGAAUCCAUUGUAAACCAAUGCUCCACCAAUGUCCGGUGUGUGUGCUACGUCCACCGUAAGACAAACAUAGUUCCGUCAACCCUAAAACCCUUAAACCCUAAACCCUGAUAACCCUAACCCCCCCCCCACUAAACCGUAAAAACAUUCAAAAUUUUGCCCCACAUGGAAACCAUUAUGCAUGCAUUCUCUAUGUGGUCAUGGGAUGCCAUUAAGAAAGUUUGGGAUCAUUAGUACAUAUACAUGCACGUACGAUCUCUGACACACGCAUUUCCGGGCUUGCAUGUCAACACUCAACCCUAAACCCUGAUAACCCUAACCCACCCCCACUAAACCCUAAACCCUAAACCCUGAUAACCCUAAACCCCCACUAAACCCUAAACACUGAACCCCUAAACCCCUAAACCCUAAUAACCCUAAACCCCUAAACCCCUAAACGAGUUGACAAGAUUUUCUUAUUUCUUUAUAUCAUUUAUCGAAAUCUCACAUAACUCACGCGGCCCACCCCUCCCUAAAUCCCGCGAUUACAGCUCCGCAUUCUAACCACCGGGCCGUCCGCACCUCCCACGACCGCUGCAAGAUCAGAUCAGAGACGCCGGUCGCCCACGGAAUACAGGAGUCGGCGGCCACCACUCGCCGCCCACCGCCAACAUGAUCUGAGGGCUCGGACGUCAGUGUUCUUCUCGCCGCCUCCUCCUCGCGUGAACGCGCCGUUUUUCCUUUGCGCCGUCGACCGCGCUAUAGCAGCACUUAUAGUUUCCCACACACUAACCGCCACCAUCUACUCGGUGGCACCGUCUCCGAGAUAAGGUAUUACCUGAUUGUAACUCUUUAUAAUCGUUGUCCGCCGCUCCUUUAGUAGUUGAACCCUCAUAGGUUUUGCACCCAAAUAGGUUCUGUGCUUAAACCCAUAAGUGGAUCAUAUGUUAAAUGAUCCAGUUAAUUUUAUGAAAAUUAAUUCUCUGCUAAUUUUGUUAUACAUUUUCCAAUUUUGUUCAGAUUAAUUGAGCCGGAUUUUAUCAUUGCAUACGAGCCAGCAAUGUCAGUUUCAGAUACGAACCUUCAUAAUGGAGAAAAGCCCAUCUUCGAAAUUACGAAUGCGGUAAGUAAUUGACUGUUUGUGUACAAUCGUUUCGUACACAUAAUUCAUGUGUACUCAGUAUUAUUUAAUGUCAUGUAACAAGAACUCGCCAAAAAGCAUGGUCAUAUGAAGUUAGUAUGCUCACAGACAAGGUUUGGAAAAACCAUGAAACUGUUGUCACAAGACCAUAAAAAGUACAUCAUAUCAGAAACCAGUCUUGGCGGUCUAACCCAGAUGCAUGAAGUGACUCUACGGCGCAUAAUGUUGGUUAGACUAGCCAAGAGCAUAGAUAUGGACAUGCAAUCCAUUACCAUCGGUCAAACGCCAAUUCCUAUAACAAAAGAGGACGUGCAAGGUAUAUUUGGCAUUUUGAUAGAAGGGGAGGAUAUAGAGCCACAUCUGGAAAUGCAAACUGACACGGAAUUGUUUACCUCCUAUGCAAACAAUGGGCAAAUUUUGAUUUUUGACCUUGAAACGGCGAUCCGAGCUUCCAAAGCCCUAGACGGCGAUUUCCUGAGACGGUUCAUUCUGUACGCAAUUGGUACUGUUCUAGCACCAAUAGCACAACAUUAUGUGGACUCGAAAUUUCUCAACCUUGUUACAGAUCUUGAAAACCUUCGGAAAUUUAACUGGGGAUGUUUCACACUUAAUCACUUCUUCAAGUCCGUUCACAAGUUUAGAAAUCGAGAUCACGUAAAUCUACAAGGAAAUCUAAUUCUGCUCCAGGUUAGUGAUAGAUCACUACUUAAUGUCCUUUAAUUAUUGUUCUGUUGCAUAUCAGUAUGGUGAUGAACUAAUUUAUUGUGUAGUAUUGGUACUGGGAGCACGUGCGUAGUGGCCGAUUAAUGUAUGCUUCUAGACCCCCUCCAUUGAUCGCACAAUGGGACGAAAUGAUGGCUACUUUAAGAAGUGAUGCUUACGAGAAAGGAGGUCUUCAUAACGGGCUGGUACCUAUCUACAAUUGAACUUUCUAUAUCCGAUUUUUAUUUGGUACAAAUGGUUCAUUAUAUUUUAUAAAAAUAGGCUGUCAUGGAAAUUUGUGCUCCUCAACGACCGUCCGAGAAUUCUAAUAAUUUUCCAAGAAAAAAAGAUGAACAUGUGCAUCAAUAUGAUUCGUAUCGAGCACCAUCACAAGGACAUCAAUUUAGUAGCCAGCAAGUAUGUACUCCAAGGACUAUUUGUUUUUGCAAUAUCACAAAUAGGUGUCAUGGAACCUCAUUCAUUUAGCUAUUGUUAUCAACGGGGUUUUAUUUUGUUUACACAGAUUGAAAUGGUAGUUGAAGUCAUGAAUGCAUGCAUUGCUGAUCAUGAAAAGAAGGUAGGCAGGAAGUUAAUGGAAAUUGAGCACAAAUUUGAUUUCAAAUACCAUACUCUAGGUGAAGACUUGAUCGACCUGAAGACUAAAACGGGCACUAAUCCUAGGUUGUCGAAGGCCGAGGACGAAAUUAAAGACUUAAGGAGGAAACUCCAUGUAUGUCAUACUGUGCAUUUUGUAUUUUUUAUGAAUAUGUUCCUUCAUGUUCAUUAUUGUUUGCAUUGUUACAGGAAAUAAAAUACGAAUUUACAAGCAACCGACAAUCAGUGUCAUAGAAAGGAGGCGUGCAGGUGAUCAAUAUGGCCCAACACGUCAAUAUCUAAAAGUAACAAACUAAUGAUGAACUACAUUUCUUCAUUGUAGGAUCAAGUCAAUGUGUGCAAUUCAUCCCUGACAGGAACUCCUAGGGCUAGCCAAUUCACGACAGGGACUUCGAGUACACCAAGUGCAAGACAUGUGACGGAAAACAAUGAGGAACCACAAUUAACUCCGAUGAAGCCUGUCUUUGGUAAUGAUUACAAGUUCACGGAUGAGGACAUAGAGACAGCCGUUUACAUCCGCGGAACAUACGACCCUGUUAAAAUAGCUAGAAUCGGAGACAUUUCCCUCACAGCAGAAAAUCUGAAGCGAAGUUUGGACGACAAAUACAUUUAUGGUGAUGUAAGCCCAUUAUACUCUAUUCUACAUCAUUACUGCAACAACUGUCUUAUUAUUGUAUGAUUGAAAAUUUGGCAGGUUAUUAUGGCAUAUGCUCGCAUUAGCCAAAUUCAGAAUGAUACUACCUCAAUCAUAUCCCCUCAAGAAACCGAAAAGCUGUUACAAAUGAAGGGGGUGGUUCCUGUUGGACGUGCAGCCUCAUGGUUAGCUCGUCUAGCAGGAAAAUUUGUAGGGCGCCGAAAGGUACACGUUUUCCACACUUUCAUAGUUUACGUACACACUGUACACGACAAAUUUCGGUUCUCAACCCAACCCAAAUUUUACUGCAGUUGCAUGUCCCACUGAAUGUACACCAAAACCAUUGGAUGCUAAUGAUGUUUAAUUUUGACAAAAAAGAAAUUCAGACUCUGAACUCCAUGAAUUAUCAUUGCGACAAGACCAAGGAAGAUUCUCUUGUAAGUGUUGUCUUGCUGCCUCUUUUGAUCCGCAUGGAACAUGAGCUCCCAAAGUACCGUAACCCUAUGUAUAACUCGUCGUACCCUAGGUGGACUCGAUUCAGUUCUGCAUUGACGAAGCUGUCAAGAAAGGGUUGAUAUCACCAGCUAAUAACACCAAUUUUGCCGAAUGGACAAAAAAACGCUAUGAGAACAUACCACAACAGACCGAUGGGUACGCAUGGCCUCAUAAAUUAUUAUUUGCGUACACAAAUAAGAUUACUGAUCUUUAACUAAACAUCGCAGGACUUCCUGUGCGGUUUGGACACUACAGUACAUGUUGUCAUGGAACAGGGAUGAAAUGACUGAUAUUUUGUACCAGGUAAUUGAAUGCCUAAUUUAAAUUUGUACUUUGUUUAGCUUGAAAGCUAUCCUGACGUCAGUGUCGGUUAUCCAAUAUAGGCAAGGAUAGAUAUUUUCAGGUGGAAAAUAUGUACAGCCUUACUGCAUUCAAAUUGCAAUGCACUUCAUCUCGAAUCAUAUAAGUUCCCCAUAACGGUUAGCGCUACAUGAAGAAUAUAUCAUUUAUUUCAUAAGUCUCAUGAUUAGAACUAAUGCAGCACUCUCUCUUAUACAGAAGGAGGUGUACGAUGCCCAGCAAGCAGUUCUACCUGAUGCUUCAGAAGAGGACGUACAAUUAGUCAACAAUCCUAAUGGUUCCAACGAACCUGACACGUCCAACUCCCAGAAGGAUACCGGUGCACCCAACUCCCCCAAAAGGAAGAGAGCACGUGGACGCCCGAGAAAGCUAGUCGAUCCUGAGCAAGCAGCAAAAACAAAGAGUCUUAAAGAACUGAAACUUAAAUUUGACAGCAAGACCAUAGCCAACCAAGUGUCUUCGUUACCAUCACGGUCACGCAGAGAGCAUAAACCAGCACCAGCUUUAUUGAGCCCAUUCAAACACAAAUAGGUAGCAUCAAUUGAUCAUCAAUUGAUACAUGCUCAUGCUCAUGCUCUACUUCUAGCAUCGUUUGAUACACGUUUUGUUCUUAUCAGAAAGUGGAAAUAGGUACUUUUGGCAAUCAUGAGCAUCCUCUACUUAUUGCAAUAUCUAAUGCAUUGAUACAUUCUCAUGCUCAUGCUCUACUUUUAGCAUCAUUUGAUACACAUUUAGUUCUUAUCAUAAAGUGGAAAUAGAUACUUUUGGCAAUCAUGAGCAUCCUCUACUUAUUGCAAUAUCUAAUGCAUUGAUACAUUCUCAUGCUCAUGCUCUACUUUUAGCAUCAUUUGAUACACGUUUAGUUCUUAUCAGAAAGUGGAAAUAGGUACUUUUGGCAAUCAUGAGCAUCCUCUACUUAUUGCAAUAUCUAAUGCAUCAUCAGUACAAAGCUUGAUUUGGCAAUAGGUGGAAUCGGCAAUCAUUUGCAUGCUUUAAUUUUGUCAAAAAUUAAUGCAUAGUUCAGUUGUAACUGUUCAUAGAUAUGGCAGGAACAUGCUGAGUUAUACACUAAACAUAGUCAUGCGAAGCUAUAACUACCAUAGUCAUAUUAUUAGAGUUCCUAGCAUGCAUCACCGUACGGCAGAAUAACACAGCAACCUUAACAUAGACCACCGUACGAUACUUGUGUUGCUAAGGCCUUGUACAAUGCAUGGUGCUUAGGAGAGUUGCUUAUAGAAAUAAACCAGGCUUUUCUUAAGCACAUGUGCCUAUUUGUACAGGGUAGACGCAUAACUAGGCGUCUCUCCUGUAGAAAUAGGCACCGGUGCUUCAGAAAUACCCUGUUUAUUUUUCUAAGCACCACCCUAAGCAUCUAGCAUUGUACAAGGCUUAAACAUGCAUCGCCAAAAUAGUAUUAACAACUAGGAACACUAAACCAGAGUAGCAGCAAACUCUUAACAUAAACGGCAGAUCAACCACCGCUCAGCAUAGGUUCAGACACACCAUAGGACAUCAGUUUUAGACUCCAACAACGAACAAACAUAGAUAACAUAACAGGACACGGCGGUCCUGGGGCAGCAGCAGCACUCUAGCAGCACAUCACUUCUCUCCCUUCUUCAAUGCAUGUUGUAGGGCUCAUUGACUUUGACAAUCUCGAGGAAGCGUGCGUAGGCAGCAUGUUUAGCCAGAGUACUGGCUUUAUGCUUCUUACCAUGUCCAUUGCCAGUUCUAAAGGCAUGCUGGAUCAUGCCAUCUAUGCCGCCACCGAUCACCUUGCAACAGAAAGGGCACCCAAUCUUGCCAAAGAAACGGUACUUGAUCUUCCCAGCAAUCAGAUGCCUCAGGUUGUACCGGCUCUUGCUGUUCCUGCUGUCCAUGCUGUAGUCACGUCGUCGUCAUCCUCCUGUGAAUUAGUGAAUUAGUACACAUAGAAGAACUCAGCUAAUCUAUUAUGGUACAUUGACUUUAAUUACAAUGUUUUGAAAGUACACAUGUGUAACAUGGCAACUAUCUAUUUGCUAGAAACAAGGCGUAUGUGCACAUACAUAAUUGAGCCAAAGAAAUUGACAUGCAUAAAUAUGGACGGUGGAAUAGUUGCAUUUAUAGAUUAGUGCACAAGUAGUACAUAAUUAACACAUGAAAGACUUCAUGAAGUGGCUUGGUUUAAUGAUAUUUGAUACUUGUUACAGGUGUAAUUAUUAUUGGAAUCAGAAAAAUGGCUUCAUUAUACUCCUCCAUGUUUCACACAAGGGGGUUUUGUUCUAUCUACUGGAAUGAAGAAACCAUUAUUCUUUCUGACAGCGGCAAUACUGCUCAUAUUGAUGAGAGAUGUGGCUGUGAUCAUCUAGAUAACAUACUAUGGAAAAUAGGCUAGAUGAAAUGUUUUGAUUUUUUGGUAUCUAGUGGAUAUGUACUGUCAGCCCAUAAUUAUUAAGGGAGCGAUCACUUCCUUUGCAAAAUGGAAAUCUGUAUAGAAUUUGCAAAUGGAUCAUCUAUGAACAUGUGUGCAAACUAAUCAUCUAUGAACAUGUGUGCAAAUUAAUUCAUCUACAUAAACUAAAAUGAAUCAGGAACUGCAGCAUUUUGUCACUGUCCUUGGGAAGCCAAUGGAGAAUCCUCCUAUAUAUCCAUUGUUUAACCCACUUUUUUCAUUGAUGUAUCCCUGCCAUGAACAUUUUCUUGUAUUUGGGUUCAUUACCCCACUACUUUCAUUAAUGUAUCCCUUGUGAAACUUAUGCUCAUCUAGUUAACAAGACAAACCCCAAUGCCACGAAAAAAACCCAGAGUAUCUGCUGGAAUCAGAAUGUGAAUCAGAUUUAAAAAUCCACAUCCAACAUGAAGAUCUAUGCUAGAUCCCUACAAUCCUACAUAUGUAGAACUAGCACGCCCAAGUGAAAUUGAUGCUCAUCUAGUUUACAGGAAAAACCCCAAUGUCAUGAAAAAAACAGAGCAAAAAAUAGAGUACUACCUCAAAUAGCUCGUCGAUGGCAUCCUCGUCGAAGUCGCUGCCCUUCCUGCAAUCUACGUCGAACUCCUUUAUGGCCUUCUCCUCGAAGAGCUCUUCGAUUUCGUCAUGCACCAUGCGCUUACGCCUUCUCAUCUCCUCCUCCUCCAGAUCUUCCCCGACCUUGUGCUCACCGACGGGUGCCUCGACGGCUGCGAUGGCAGCGGGAGCAGGCACAAUGGUCGCUGCACCGGCAGCUUCCGCCGCUACGGCGGACUCUGCCGCUCCACCUACGGUUGCAGCCACGGCAGCAGACUGCGCUGCUCCGAUGGUUGCCUUCAGCUCAUCCGCCGCAUCUUCACGUUCACGCUUCAUCGUCGGUCGAAGACAGGAGGAGGGAGGCGUAGGAAGGGAGGAGGGUGGUGAGGAAGGAGGAGAGGGUGGUGAGGAAGGAGGAGAGGGUGGUGAGUUGGUGAGGAAGGAAGAGAGUGUGGGGAGAGGACGAGGGUUUUCUACCCGAUUUGGGGAACAAAUGCACUGCUCCUGCCUCUUGGAGUUACCGAGAAGCCGCGGGUGCCGAUUUGACUUGACACACCCACCCGGCCGUCCCCAUUCCACGUGGGGACGUGGCGGUCGUGCACCUCCUGCGGUUUGCCAUCAAUUGCUAUCGGUCUGACAAGUGGGUCCCCUUGUCAUCCACACAACCGAGCCACCACAUGUACCACAUUUUUCUUUCU